AAUUUUUAUGGAUAGUUUGAUCCUGGCUCAGGAGAAACGCUCGCGGCUUGCCUCAUAAAUGCAAGUAGAGCGAA
This 74-nucleotide ribosomal RNA is filed under the name Staphylococcus aureus. Its description in RNAcentral is "partial 16S ribosomal RNA". Lineage: Bacteria; Bacillati; Bacillota; Bacilli; Caryophanales; Staphylococcaceae. The record is from RNAcentral.